RNAcentral lists this ribosomal RNA (801 nucleotides) under uncultured bacterium. RNAcentral's name for it is "bacterial SSU rRNA". It matches the Rfam family "Bacterial small subunit ribosomal RNA", at positions 63 to 848 of the family's 1533-position model. The record is from RNAcentral.
CGAACUGAUUAGAAGCUUGCUUCUAUGACGUUAGCGGCGGACGGGUGAGUAACACGUGGGCAACCUGCCUGUAAGACUGGGAUAACUUCGGGAAACCGAAGCUAAUACCGGAUAGGAUCUUCUCCUUCAUGGGAGAUGAUUGAAAGAUGGUUUCGGCUACCACUUACAGAUGGGCCCGCGGUGCAUUAGCUAGUUGGUGAGGUAGCGGCUCACCAAGGCAACGAUGCAUAGCCGACCUGAGAGGGUGAUCGGCCACACUGGGACUGAGACACGGCCCAGACUCCUACGGGAGGCAGCAGUAGGGAAUCUUCCGCAAUGGACGAAAGUCUGACAGAGCAACGCCGCGUGAGUGAUGAAGGCUUUCGGGUCGUAAAACUCUGUUGUUAGGGAAGAACAAGUACAAGAGUAACUGCUUGUACCUUGACGGUACCUAACCAGAAAGCCACGGCUAACUACGUGCCAGCAGCCGCGGUAAUGCGUAGGUGGCAAGCGUUAUCCGGAAUUAUUGGGCGUAAAGCGCGCGCAGGCGGUUUCUCAUGUCUGAUGUGAAAGCCCACGGCUCAACCGUGGAGGGUCAUUGGAAACUGGGGAACUUGAGUGCAGAAGAGAAAAGCGGAAUUCCACGUGUAGCGGUGAAAUGCGUAGAGAUGUGGAGGAACACCAGUGGCGAAGGCGGCUUUUUGGUCUGUAACUGACGCUGAGGCGCGAAAGCGUGGGGAGCAAACAGGAUUAGAUACCCUGGUAGUCCACGCCGUAAACGAUGAGUGCUAAGUGUUAGAGGGUUUCCGCCCUUUAGUGCUG